Molecule: long non-coding RNA, 3597 nt
Filed under: Dasypus novemcinctus (nine-banded armadillo)
Lineage: Eukaryota; Metazoa; Chordata; Mammalia; Cingulata; Dasypodidae
Description: lncRNA (ENSDNOG00000052753.1)
Rfam family: tRNA (bases 899-956)
Source: RNAcentral
AAUUACUUGUAUUUUUUAUAAAGAGCAGUUGUUUGAUCAGAUGCUUAUUCUUUCACUAUUAUUUCAUUUCUAGAAUAAAAGGGCCUUUUGGUUUUUUCAGGUUACUUUUCAGAGAAAAGAUAUUGAGCUGCUUACAAUAUUUUUUUUUCCAGCUGGUACCAGAGAAUGAGCCCAGCACCACAUACAUGGGAAGCAGGCACUCAAACACUGAGAAAAGACAUUAUCUCUGAUUUCAUGGAAUUUAGAAAUGUGCAACUAAUCCAUCCACACCAUAUGGAAAUACAACCAAGAUGGCAUAUUCCAGUAAGCCAGACUUCUUCAGUGGUGGCAGCAGGAACAGUGGAUCCAAGCAGUCAAGGAACUUCUGUGUGACCACGAUGCUGGUGUGCAGUGGGUUUCCAGGCAUGAAUUCGAUGAAGCAGUGCAGAAAACCACAGCAGCCAUCAAAGGACCAUCCAGAAGGGAGUGGACUGGGAGGCCAGUGUAUCAAAUAUCAUCUUUUGAGACUUGCUUUCAAAACUACCAGCCUCACUCUCCUCACCCAAUGAGAUCAACCUACAGUUCCAGAGGUGCAUACUGCAGCCCUGCUAGGUUUGGCAGAAUGUACCAAGAAGUUUGGAGUACAUGAAGCAAAAAAACAGGUACCAGCUGAAGUAUGGGCACUGGGGACCGCCAGAAGAGCAAGAGUUGUGCAAGAGUGGAGUUACAGGACAUUAAACUGUGGAUCUAUCAUACUAGAGUCAAGCUACAACCAAUUCUGCACAGUGACUCUCUACCACUCAGCCAAAAAGCAACUGUUCCCAUCAACUGUCCUGAAGAAGCUGAAAGUAAAUAUACUUGUGAACCUCCAGAUGGACUCAAAUAUUUGUUUAAAAGGAAAAGUCCGGGAAACGGACUUUGGCCCAGUGGUUAGGGCGUCCGUCUACCAUAUGGGAGGUCCGUGGUUCAAACCCCGGGCCUCCUUGACCCGUGUGGAGCUGGCCCACGCGCAGCGCUGAUGCGUGCAAGGAGUGCCGUGCCACGCAAGGGUGUCCCCCGCGUGGGGGAGCCCCACGCGCAAGGAGUGCGCCCGGAAAGCCGCCCAGCGUGAAAAGAGAGAGCAGCCUGCCCAGGAAUGGCGCCACCCACACUUCCCGUGCCGCUGACGACAACAGAAGCGGACAAAGAAACAAGACGCAGAAGCGGACAAAGAAACAAGACGCAGCAAAUAGACACCAAGACCAGACAACCAGGGGAGGGGGGGAAAUUAAAUAAAUAAAUCUUUAAAAAAAUAAAAUAAAAUAAAAUAAAAGGAAAAGUCCUUCAUAAGUUACAGGUGGUUAUUUUAUUUGCUAUUAAUUCCCUUUUUCUUUAUUUUCCUAGGAUUAUGGAUCCUGGUUAAUUUAAUACUUAUAUUCAUUGAAAAUUAAUUCAUAAGUAACAUGAUUACUCAACUUUUACUUAAACUCUCUUUCCUAUCUUUAAUUAUAAAUCACAAGGUAAUAAACGUUUCCUUUAGUGGGCUCAUUCUUACGCUAACUCUAAAACCAGUCUAAUUGUUGGAUUUGUGGACAGUUGUCAACCUCAAGCAUUUCUGGAUUACCUUGGUGGGUAUCUCCAUUACAAGGUACUGAUUGGAGAGCUUUAAAAUAUUUCAUAAAAGAAAUGCAAAAAUGUCGAGGAACAUUAAAUACUAUAGACAUAACCAGAGCCUACCCCAAUAUUGGCCAGUAAACUUAAUAAAACCUGGUCAUCUGCUCUGAUUCUCAAAUGAUGUUACUACUAAAACUGCUUUAUAAUAUUCUUUUCAAUUAGAUGAUCAAGCCGAAAAUUUAACUGUAAGAGAAAAAGAUGGACAUUUCCAACUUUGGGAUGGAAUGGUUUGGCUCACUCCAGGUGAGUUAGUUGGCAAACUAAGUCAGGUAACACCCUAUAUCAGGAACAACCCUAAUCACUCCCAGCAACAUAACCCUUCUCUCAGUCAUAAAUUAGAACACUUAUUAACAUGAAAUUGUCAACAAAAAAUCACUUUACAAUUAAAUGAUUAGUUUGGCACUGACUGGGAACACAGACCUGGAAUUUACUGCAUAGCCCCAAAUAACACCAAUGGAUUUGUGGAACAAAUCUGUGGUCAUGGUUCCCACCAUUGUGGCUAAGAAGGUUUACCAUGGGGUUGCCGUGGGUCCAAGGAACUGUUCACACCUCCCACCCAUCUGUUGCAACUAACCUACCCCUGUUAUAAGCUAGAUGGACUCAUUCCAUCUUUCACUGGUAUGAUUAUCUAGCAGCAACUUUUGUCCCUUCCAUAGGAAUUGGGAUAUUAUAGCAAGAACAGAAGCUUUGAGCAAUUUUUUCUCUCAAGUCUUAAAUGAUAGUUACCAUAGUAUAAUGCUUAUUAAUACUGAAAUGAAUCUAAUGUGCAAGGGUGUUCUCCAAAAUCGAAUGGCAUUGGACAUUUUAAGAGCUUCUCAAAGAUGUACAUGUACUGUAAUAAAAGCUGAGUGCUUUACUUACCUCCCUGAUGAAUCUAACAAUAUAGCCAUUCUUUUGAUUCAUAUGAAUUAAUAAAGCCAGGCUACGUCAACCCCAUCUACUCCAUUCAAAUUCUUUGAUUUAUUUAGUUGGCUACCCUCUGGUAUUGGAUCCUGGCUAUGCACUAUUCUCCAAACUGGCUUCACAAUUAUUCUAAUAAUCAUAAACCUUAUGAUUCUAAAAUGUACUAUCUCCUUAUGUACUUGAUUAAUUGUUAAACCUUUUUCUUCACCUGGAGGUACUUUUCCCUCUAAUCCCUUUAACAACAAUCAGUAUUACUUACAUACCAUGUAUCAACAUUUCUACCAAGAGAUUUUUUUAACUACAUCUCAUGUCCACAGGAAGCAGUCAGAUCGAAUGAUGAAAAUUUCCAAAAAUUAAUUCCAUGAUUGGAAAUAAAAAUAUAAUCAGGGGGAAUUUGUACCCUGAACAGUUGUAUAAGCAAAACAAAUUGUACUUGUAACCUAGCAAGCACCUUAGAAUAGAUAUAGAGUUUCUAUAGAAAACCACAUAGUCCUGUCAAGUUUAAUAUUAACCAGACCUUUUACUUCUCUUUCUUUGUAAAGAAAAUGCACAACAUAUCCUCAUAACUUCAUUUAUUCCCUAUUCUGACCACUGUGAAACUUAAAGGCACAAUAUAUAUCUUAAAUGUUAAUCAGAGCAGAAAAAUUAGAAAAGCGCUCUAAAUCCCUUCCCAAGGAUGAGUCUAUGAUUAAUUUUCUUUGUUUCAAAUCAUGUCUGUGAUUAAUUCUCUUUAUGUCAAACCUGUAUUAUAAAGGCUGUUGAAAAAAAAAAAAACCUUGAUUAGGCGAAAGACUUGAUAUUGGUUAGCUCUCCUGUCUCUGUUGACUAACAAAGCCCCUUUACCUUCCCAGCCUACUUCGGUAUGUCUGUCUCCUCUGCCAUGCUGAGCAAUGAGCCCAUGGACUGUUCCAUUCUCCUUCAGUUUCUUUACAAAUGGGUUUUGAUUACAUGUUUAUCUAUAACUUAGUUGCUGAAUAAGUCAUUUUUGUAAGUGUCCAGUUCUUUUUGAGUAACUUUGUAUUUUCAAAAUAAAGAUUUUUGGAUGUACAGUUUCUAUCCUGC